UAAGGCACGAAUUAACUUAAUUAGGCUAUUGUAAUGCCUAGGAGCGCUUAUCUGACACUACAGUGCGCAUAUGAGGAUUUUCGGGAAAUCUGUGGGAUGUUAAACGAUAACGAACAAAAACUGCACAAAAUACCAACAACGCCGACAAAUAUUAAAUUUUUACGAUAUAUUUUAGCUUCGUAAUUAAAAUUUUACAUCUGUAGUCGAAACCGAAUCGAAAAGCGGACUAAAAACGGCGACGACACAUUUUAUGCGAUUUUUAUUGUUAUCGACAGAAGAACGCUCCGAACGCGACUACUGAUUCUAUUUGUUCAUAAUGUGACCCUAUAAAUUUAUUUCACGACAUUACGGUGAAUUCGGGUUUUGAAAACGGGUUCGUAGGAUUAGCGGGCCACUUAUACACGAUAUUGGGCUUGUUGGCCUUGGGCCCAAGCCCAUUAGGGAAACCUAGUAUUUAAAACUAGAGAAACCCUAGUUCCUCAUUUUUACACCUGCGCACACAACGAUCCCCUCCUCUACUCUCCUUCUCCUUCAAGAGUGAAACCCUAAUCCCAAGUUCAGAUCAACAGCCAUAUAUGAAGUCCUUCCCUCAUAUUAAUUUUGCUUUCUCUGUUAAAUUAAAGAACAUCCACACACAAAUAACACUUUAACAUCUUCACAAACUUCUGAUUCACAAGGCAAACCACCAUACUCACCUGCUACCCCCUAACCCCUCCCUCUCGAUCCCCUCGGUCAGGUGACCGGAGCCGGACAUGGGCAUAUCGGCGGACCUCCUCGUCCGUUCGACUUCACCGACGAGACACCCACCCCCAAAUCACACCACCCUCCUUCGUGACCACACAUCCGAACCCCCAUCUUCUCCACACCCCCCCCGGUCGAUUAGCAUGACGAACCACCACCACCGGCGUCUGGUGGUGGUGCGACGGAGAAACAGAAAGAGAGAGAGAGAGAGGCGAUGUGGGAGAGAAAGGAUGAAAUGAGAGGAACGAUGACGGAGACUGACCGGCGACAGGCCGUCUCUCGGACGACGGCAACGAGCGACGACGGCUAUGGUGGUUGUCAUCAGGUGAGAUUUUAUUCGGAUUUGGGUUUCGGAGCAGCCAUGGUUCAAGUAUGGUUCAGUUCUGCUUGAGUGUUUCGGCUUGUAAGUAGAUUGAUUGUUUUUUUUUCGGGUCAAAUAUGGUUCGGGUGAUGCUCGGGUCGGAUCUAGUCAACAGUGUUUAAGUUUGGUUCGGGUUCUUGUUCGGUUCAACUCAGAUCUGGGGUUCAAGUAGUCACAUCCGCGGGAUCGGGUCACGGUUCGGUUCGAUUCAACAAGUCAGACUGCGGGUCAAAGUUAGUCAACCACAGGUCAUGGUUUGUUUCGGUCAGAUUUGGUUUCGGGUCAAACCGAGUCAACUCGGGUCUACAGACGGUCAACGCAGUCAACAACAGUCAAUGAAGACCCGGAAUGCUUUAGUUGCACGCUAGCGAGUUCACAUUCUUGGAAUGACAUCACAGAAUCACGUUAAACUAGUUUUGCACAGGAAUGUCAAGGUUAAAUUUUUCAAACUACGGAACGGUUGGAAUAGGAGCACCCAUGGGAAUUCGAGUAACUAGCGGCGUUCAUUUUCUAGAAGUCUUAGCUUAUUUGCUUCCGCUGUGCAAUGAAGAUACCGGUCCAGUCACGCCAAGCUCUGAUAUUUCGGGGUGUGACAAAAACGUCCCCGAAUAGUUUCCUUCUUUGCAUGGCAAACUGCUCGUUGGUGCCGCUGCGGAGCUUCUUGAAGUAAUCUAUGCUUUCUCCGAUGAGCGGCCAGCCGUAGUGUCCGGGAAUGGAUGAUUUUUGUGUGAAAAAAUGGUGCAAAAUGAAGAUGGUGAUGAUGGGCAAAAGUGUUGAAGAGAUUAGCAGGAGGGUGUCCAUUGUUAUUUGAGAGGUGUUUAUGCCUUGAGUGUGUGCUUGUGUUGGAUAAAUGUGUGUGUGUAUAUAUAUAUUGUGUAUAUGUAGGAAGACUGAUAAGGUUAUGGGGGAAGAUGACAGAUUGUAGUAUAUAAUGGAAAGAAAGGACAAUAGUGAGAAUAAUAAGAAGCCAAAUUAAGUUGAAUAACAAA
Long non-coding RNA from Helianthus annuus (common sunflower), 2091 nucleotides. RefSeq lists it as uncharacterized. The transcript has 3 exons. The record is from RefSeq and is a predicted model, not a curated record. Lineage: Eukaryota; Viridiplantae; Streptophyta; Magnoliopsida; Asterales; Asteraceae.